CCUACGGGAGGCAGCAGUGGGGAAUAUUGGGCAAUGGGCGCAAGCCUGACCCAGCAACGCCGCGUGAAGGAAGAAGGCUUUCGGGUUGUAAACUUCUUUUGACAGGGAAGAGUAGAAGACGGUACCUGUCGAAUAAGCCACGGCUAACUACGUGCCAGCAGCCGCGGUAAUACGAAGGUGGCAAGCGUUGUCCGGAUUUACUGGGUGUAAAGGGCGUGUAGCCGGGUUGACAAGUCAGAUGUGAAAUCCUGCGGCUUAACCGCAGAACUGCAUUUGAAACUGUUGAUCUUGAGUACUGGAGAGGCAGACGGAAUUCGUAGUGUAGCGGUGAAAUGCGUAGAUAUUAGGAGGAACACCAGUGGCGAAGGCAGUCUGCUGGACAGCAACUGACGGUGAGGCGCGAAAGCGUGGGGAGCAAACAGGAUUAGAUACCCUUGUAGUC
RNAcentral lists this ribosomal RNA (442 nucleotides) under uncultured bacterium. RNAcentral describes it as "partial 16S ribosomal RNA". It matches the Rfam family "Bacterial small subunit ribosomal RNA", at positions 338 to 795 of the family's 1533-position model. The record is from RNAcentral.